UACGGAAGGCAGCAGUGGGGAAUAUUGCACAAUGGGCGAAAGCCUGAUGCAGCUAUGCCGUGUGUAUGAAGAAGGCCUUAGGGUUGUAAAGUACUUUCAUCGGGGAGGAAAAAACAAAACUAAUAAUUUUAUUUCUUGACGUUACCCGAAAAAGAAGCACCGGCUAACUCCGUGCCAGCAGCCGCGGUAAUACGGAGGGUGCUAGCGUUAAUCAGAAUUACUGGGCGUAAAGAGCACGUAGGUGGUUUUUUUAAGUCAGAUGUGAAAUCCCCUGGGCUUAACCUAGGAACUGCAUUUUGAAACUGAAAUACUAGAGUAUCGUAGAGGGAGGUAGAAUUCUAGGUGUAGCGGUGAAAUGCGUAGAUAUCUGGAGGAAUACCUGUGGCGAAAGCGGCCUCCUAAACGAAUACUGACACUGAGGUGCGAAAGCGUGGGGAGCAAACAGGGAUUAGAUACC
Molecule: ribosomal RNA, 457 nt
Filed under: uncultured bacterium
Lineage: Bacteria
Description: bacterial SSU rRNA
Rfam family: Bacterial small subunit ribosomal RNA
Source: RNAcentral